ACGGGAGGCAGCAGUGGGGAAUAUUGGACAAUGGGGGAAACCCUGAUCCAGCGACGCCGCGUGAGUGAAGAAGUAUUUCGGUAUGUAAAGCUCUAUCAGCAGGGAAGAUAAUGACGGUACCUGACUAAGAAGCCCCGGCUAACUACGUGCCAGCAGCCGCGGUAAUACGUAGGGGGCAAGCGUUAUCCGGAUUUACUGGGUGUAAAGGGAGCGUAGACGGAAGGCCAAGUCUGAUGUGAAAACCCGGGGCUCAACCCCGGGACUGCAUUGGAAACUGGUCAUCUAGAGUGCAGGAGAGGUAAGUGGAAUUCCUAGUGUAGCGGUGAAAUGCGUAGAUAUUAGGAGGAAUACCAGUGGCGAAGGCGACUUACUGGGCCGUAACUGACGCUGAGGCGCGAAAGCGUGGGGAGCGAACAGGAUUAGAUACCCUGGUA
This 434-nucleotide ribosomal RNA is filed under the name uncultured Lachnospiraceae bacterium. Its description in RNAcentral is "bacterial SSU rRNA". It matches the Rfam family "Bacterial small subunit ribosomal RNA", at positions 341 to 792 of the family's 1533-position model. The record is from RNAcentral. Lineage: Bacteria; Bacillati; Bacillota; Clostridia; Lachnospirales; Lachnospiraceae.